Long non-coding RNA from Bradysia coprophila, 91 nucleotides. NCBI's taxonomy places the organism in Eukaryota, Metazoa, Arthropoda, Insecta, Diptera, Sciaridae. The record is from RefSeq and is a predicted model, not a curated record.
UGUCAUCUCAUUUUUCCAAAUAUUUCUGACAUAUCGUGAUCUUUGCUAAUAGUGCUGCCAGCUUACACCUAAAGAAUCAUGGAAUUUCUAU